UCGGACGUGGUGUAUGGUACACGUCGAGCUUUCUUAGAGGCCUUGGGAUGAAACGCGUAGCUCGCAUUCUGGGGUUCGACUCCCCACGUCCGAA
Mycena leptocephala is the source of this 94-nucleotide non-coding RNA. Lineage: Eukaryota; Fungi; Basidiomycota; Agaricomycetes; Agaricales; Mycenaceae. The record is from the annotation of a GenBank genome assembly.